AGUCGAGCGGUAGCACAGAGAGCUUGCUCUCGGGUGACGAGCGGCGGACGGGUGAGUAAUGUCUGGGAAACUGCCUGAUGGAGGGGGAUAACUACUGGAAACGGUAGCUAAUACCGCAUAACGUCGCAAGACCAAAGAGGGGGACCUUCGGGCCUCUUGCCAUCAGAUGUGCCCAGAUGGGAUUAGCUAGUAGGUGGGGUAACGGCUCACCUAGGCGACGAUCCCUAGCUGGUCUGAGAGGAUGACCAGCCACACUGGAACUGAGACACGGUCCAGACUCCUACGGGAGGCAGCAGUGGGGAAUAUUGCACAAUGGGCGCAAGCCUGAUGCAGCCAUGCCGCGUGUAUGAAGAAGGCCUUCGGGUUGUAAAGUACUUUCAGCGAGGAGGAAGGCAUUGUGGUUAAUAACCACAGUGAUUGACGUUACUCGCAGAAGAAGCACCGGCUAACUCCGUGCCAGCAGCCGCGGUAAUACGGAGGGUGCAAGCGUUGAUCGGAAUUACUGGGCGUAAAGCGCACGCAGGCGGUCUGUCAAGUCGGAUGUGAAAUCCCCGGGCUCAACCUGGGAACUGCAUUCGAAACUGGCAGGCUAGAGUCUUGUAGAGGGGGGUAGAAUUCCAGGUGUAGCGGUGAAAUGCGUAGAGAUCUGGAGGAAUACCGGGUGGCGAACGCGGCCCCCUGGACAAAGACUGACGCUCAGUGCGAAAGCGUGGGGAGCAAACAGGAUUAGAUACCCUGUAGUCACGCCGUAAACGAUGUCGACUUGGAG
RNAcentral lists this ribosomal RNA (769 nucleotides) under uncultured bacterium. RNAcentral describes it as "bacterial SSU rRNA". It matches the Rfam family "Bacterial small subunit ribosomal RNA", at positions 60 to 822 of the family's 1533-position model. The record is from RNAcentral.